UACAGAGGGUGCAAGCGUUGCUCGGAUUUACUGGGCGUAAAGCGUACGCAGACGGCAAGGCAGGUCGGAUGUGAAAGCCCCGGGCUCAACCCGGGAAAUGCAUCCGAAACCGCCUCGCUCGAGGAUGGGAGAGGGAAGCGGAAUUCCUGGUGUAGAGGUGAAAUUCGUAGAUAUCAGGAGGAACACCGGUGGCGAAGGCGGAUCUCUGGGCCAUUACUGACGCUGAGGAGCGAAAGCGUGGGGAGCGAACAGG
This 253-nucleotide ribosomal RNA is filed under the name uncultured bacterium. RNAcentral describes it as "partial 16S ribosomal RNA". It matches the Rfam family "Bacterial small subunit ribosomal RNA", at positions 524 to 776 of the family's 1533-position model. The record is from RNAcentral.